AUGGGAAGUCCGGCCUUUGGCCUCAUGGACCUGCACUCCGCCCCCCGACGAGGCGCCACGUUCCUAGCAGCUGCCGAAGGAGGGCUCAGGCGGCCUGGCGGGGGGCACUUCUGGGCUCCUGUCUCCACGUACGGGUCCGCGUCUGAACCGUCUCCAGAGUCGGAAGCAGGAUGGGGAGGCCUGGACAUCCUGCCUUCCCGUUCGGUCCUCUGCAGAAGGGCCUCGGGCUCUGUGACCCCAAGGUGUGCCUCCAGCAGCCGCUGGCUGGAAGCCCGGUGGGAGACACCUGCGCGUCACCAGGAAGGGCCAGGCUCGCUCGGGGGGGCCUCCUGUAAGAGGAGGGGGCCGCUUCCUCUCAGAGGGACGCCUGGACCCAGGAGCUGACCCAUUAAAGCAAGUUCCCAGUCACGACCACUGGCGACGCUGUGAAGUGCCAGCCUGUCCGCCCAGCCUGCCAGCCUGGUGCCCAGACCCUGGGCCAAGCUCCAGCUGGGCUGCUGCUGAGCUGGGGGUGGGGGCUACAUGUGUGGGCCCUCAGCCAUGAUGCACCCUGGGUUCUGGACACUCUGGCCACACGACCCACAUGGGGCACAGCACACGCAUCAGGGCGGGGAUUCACGUCACAGGGCACAGAGUACACACAUCCCACAGCAUGACGGAUGGACGGACAGACACACAUAGACUUGGCUGAACUGGGGACAGGGGAGCGGGGUCCACCUCUGGGUCCCAGCUCCGAGAACAAAGGCCGUGCAUCCUGGUUGCCUCCCUUCCAGCACCCGAGCCCCACCCAUCCACAGACAUCAAAGGCAAGAAGAAACCCGAUUCCCGUGUCCUGGGCAGGCCUGAGCCCUCGGGACUGUGACUGGACGUUUUACAGGUGAACAUUGUCUGCUAUGAGAUUAUUCACAACCAGACCUCAAGGGCCCAAUGGGCUCACCUCCCAAACAUACACAGAUAAAGUACAAUAAAUACAACGGCCCCCCAAUGUCUACCAGGGCUCCCGGUGGGUGGCCGGGCAGCCCCGGCUGUGGGCUGAGCGAUUUUGUGCCAGGGGGAGCACAGGGAUGAGAUGCCUUCUGCUGGGGGGUCCCGUGGCGGGGCGGCCGGGGCAGGCAGGGCGUGGGGGGGCCCCGCCCGCGUGGGUGGCGCCGUCACCGCACACAGGGCACUGCCCAGCGC
RNAcentral lists this long non-coding RNA (1179 nucleotides) under Ursus thibetanus thibetanus. RNAcentral's name for it is "lncRNA (ENSUTTG00000016871.1)". The record is from RNAcentral. Lineage: Eukaryota; Metazoa; Chordata; Mammalia; Carnivora; Ursidae.